AAUUUGGGAGGGACACCGUGCGUCACAGUGCGUGACUCAAGCAAAAUUGAAACAAGUCAGGCAAUUAACGAUCGAUACAGUGCGUGACUCGUGAGAAAGGGAAGCAACUCAAGCAAGCGAGAUAGGGUCGAAGCAAGCUAGACAGAUCAAGGGUUUCGCUGAUCAAUCCUUAGCCAAAAUUGAAGAUUCAACAAGAUAGAUGCUAGCUAGGUCUCUACCAAUUUGGUUUCCCCUCUCUUCCUUGGCCUUAGGCGGGAGAAAUAAAAAAUUAGCGCCAAAUUUUGUCGCAAUUAGCGAGAUCGAGAUUUGAUUGUGUGAAUAAUGUUUCGUAUGAGUAAAGGGAUUAUCAUUAAUCCCAAAAUUUUACCCCAAAUUUCAUCAUCGUAUCUUCAAAUCUGCACCUUCUGUACCAAUUGCAGAAGCCCUAACUUCGAAGAACCAAAGAUUUGUCAAUUUGUUCGAAGGUAUUUUUUCCAACAACUUUGUUCAUCCG
RNAcentral lists this long non-coding RNA (493 nucleotides) under Panax ginseng (ginseng). RNAcentral's name for it is "long non-coding RNA (PGIN_LNC018714)". The record is from RNAcentral. Lineage: Eukaryota; Viridiplantae; Streptophyta; Magnoliopsida; Apiales; Araliaceae.